This 421-nucleotide ribosomal RNA is filed under the name uncultured bacterium. RNAcentral describes it as "partial 16S ribosomal RNA". It matches the Rfam family "Bacterial small subunit ribosomal RNA", at positions 360 to 773 of the family's 1533-position model. The record is from RNAcentral.
AAUAUUGGACAAUGGGCGAAAGCCUGAUCCAGCCAUGCCGCGUGUGUGAAGAAGGUCUUCGGAUUGUAAAGCACUUCUUGUUGGGAGGAAGGGCAGUAAGUUACUACCUUGCUGUUUUGACGUUACCGAUUGUAGAAGCACCGGCUAACUUCAAGCUAGCAGCCGCGGUAAUACGAAGGGUGCAAGCGUUAAUCGGAAUUAAUGGUCGUAAAGCGCGCGUAGGUGGUUCGUUAAGUUGGAAGUGAAAGCCCCGGGCUUAACCUGGGAAUUGCUUUCAAAACUGACGAGCUAGAGUACGGUAGAGGGUAGUGGAAUUUCCUGUGUAGCGGUGAAAUGCGUAGAUAUAGGAAGGAACAUCAGUGGCGAAGGCGACUACCUGGACUGAUACUGACACUGAGGUGCGAAAGCGUGGGGAGCAAAC